AGUGAACGCUGGCGGUAGGCCUAACACAUGCAAGUCGAACGGCAGCACAGGAGAGCUUGCUCUCUGGGUGGCGAGUGGCGAACGGGUGAGGAAUACAUCGGAAUCUGCCCAGUCGUGGGGGAUAACGUAGGGAAACUUACGCUAAUACCGCAUACGACCUUCGGGUGAAAGAGGGGGAUCGCAAGACCUCUCGCGAUUGGAUGAGCCGAUGUCGGAUUAGCUAGUUGGCGGGGUAAUGGCCCACCAAGGCGACGAUCCGUAGCUGGUCUGAGAGGAGGAUCAGCCACACUGGAAGUGAGACACGGUCCAGACUCCUACGGGAGGCAGCAGGGGGGAAUAUUGGACAAUGGGCGCAAGCCUGAUCCAGCCAUACCGCGUGGGUGAAGAAGGCCUUCGGGUUGUAAAGCCCUUUUGUUGGGAAAGAAAUCUUUCAGGCUAAUACCCUGGGAGGAUGACGGUACCCAAAGAAUAAGCACCGGCUAACUUCGU
RNAcentral lists this ribosomal RNA (489 nucleotides) under uncultured bacterium. RNAcentral describes it as "partial 16S ribosomal RNA". It matches the Rfam family "Bacterial small subunit ribosomal RNA", at positions 29 to 506 of the family's 1533-position model. The record is from RNAcentral.